CGGAGGAAAAGAAACCAACAGGGAUUACCUCAGUAACGGCGAGUGAAGCGGUAACAGCUCAAAUUUGAAAUCUGGCGCUUUCAGCGUCCGAGUUGUAAUUUGUAGAAGAUGCUUUGGGUGUGGCUCCGGUCUAAGUUCCUUGGAACAGGACGUCAUAGAGGGUGAGAAUCCCGUAUGUGACUGGCUGCCUUCGCCCGUGUAAAGCUCUUUCGACGAGUCGAGUUGUUUGGGAAUGCAGCUCUAAAUGGGAGGUAUAUUUCUUCUAAAGCUAAAUAUUGGCCAGAGACCGAUAGCGCACAAGUAGAGUGAUCGAAAGAUGAAAAGCACUUUGGAAAGAGAGUUAAACAGUACGUGAAAUUGUUGAAAGGGAAGCGCUUGCAACCAGACUUGCCUGCGGUCGAUCAUCCUGGGUUCUCCCUGGUGCACUCGAUCGUGGUCAGGCCAGCAUCGGUUUCGGUGGUGGGAUAAAGGCCUUGGGAAUGUAGCAGUCUUCGGGCUGUGUUAUAGCCCUCGGUGCAAUGCCGCCUACCGGGACCGAGGACCGCGCUUCGGCUAGGAUGCUGGCGUAAUGGUUGUAAGCGACCCGUCUU
Molecule: ribosomal RNA, 590 nt
Filed under: Hymenoscyphus fraxineus
Lineage: Eukaryota; Fungi; Ascomycota; Leotiomycetes; Helotiales; Helotiaceae
Description: eukaryotic LSU rRNA
Rfam family: Eukaryotic large subunit ribosomal RNA
Source: RNAcentral